ACGAACGCUGGCGGCGUGCUUCACCCAUGCCAGUCGCGCGGAAAGGCCCUUCGGGGUCCUCGAGCGGCGAACGGGUGAGUAACACGUGAGUAACCUGCCCCAGACUUUGGGAUAACCCUCGGAAACGGGGGCUAAUACCGGAUACGACACAGCUUCGCAUGGGGUCUGUGUGGAAAGUUUUUCGGUUUGGGAUGGGCUCGCGGCCUAUCAGCUUGUUGGUGGGGUGAUGGCCUACCAAGGCGACGACGGGUAGCCGGCCUGAGAGGGCGACCGGCCACACUGGGACUGAGACACGGCCCAGACUCCUACGGGAGGCAGCAGUGGGGAAUAUUGCACAAUGGGCGGAAGCCUGAUGCAGCGACGCCGCGUGAGGGAUGACGGCCUUCGGGUUGUAAACCUCUUUCAGCAGGGACGAAGCGUAAGUGACGGUACCUGCAGAAGAAGCGCCGGCCAACUACGUG
RNAcentral lists this ribosomal RNA (461 nucleotides) under uncultured bacterium. RNAcentral's name for it is "partial 16S ribosomal RNA". It matches the Rfam family "Bacterial small subunit ribosomal RNA", at positions 29 to 507 of the family's 1533-position model. The record is from RNAcentral.